Long non-coding RNA from Acanthochromis polyacanthus (spiny chromis), 1772 nucleotides. RefSeq lists it as uncharacterized. The transcript has 2 exons. The record is from RefSeq and is a predicted model, not a curated record. Lineage: Eukaryota; Metazoa; Chordata; Actinopteri; Pomacentridae.
AUGAAGCUGCUGCUCUGAACACGACUGAAGUCCUGAUGAGCUGCUGAUCAAACUCAUUGAUCUCCUCUGGUCUUUCUUCUUCUCUCUGCAGAUGGAAGUGAUGCUGAUCAGGACGGUGUUUGUGCUGAGAGGAUGAAGUGUGUCCUGAUGAUCCAGAUGUUGAAGCAGCAGCAGCUGCUGGUUCCUGGUGUGUAGAAGCUUCCAGAUCAAUAAUAUUCUUUGUCUUCUGAGCUGCUGCUGCUUCCUUGAAAUCCCAGUGAUGAUUUUCAUCUGGACUGAAAUCCAGGACUGAGACGCCCCUCCAGGACUUUCCAGGAAGGAUUCCUGAAGCAGGCUUUGGUGGACGUUUGCUUUGGAUGCUGGUCCUGCUGAAAGUCCAGUGAGCUUCAGUUUCCUCACAUUGUUCUUCUAAGUGUCCUGGUGUUGGAGAGAAUCCAUGAUGCUGCUCACACGCUCCAGUUUAGCAGCUUCAAAGCCACCAACAGGACUGUUGAUGCUGUUCUUCUGGUCCUUCUGCCUCCAGACGUUCUGCCCAAACAGUUCACUUUAGUCUCAUCAGUCCAUCAGACUCCCACAACUCUGCUUUGUUCCACACAUGAAGAGCUUGUUGUUGAGUGUUGUCAGACUUUAUUUGCUGCCUUCAUCAGGUCCUGCAGCUCUUUGUCACCAAACAGGAAGGUUUACAGCAGGUGUUACGGUUUGGGGCAAGAACAAACCCAAAUGAGAGUCGCACAGAGCAGACGGCAGGCAGAGAAUAGAAUAGAAUUGAAUAGCCACUUUAUUGUCAACCAAAACAUAUACUAGUUGGUACACAUUAUAGGCUGAAAUUUUAGUGCAACAAGCUCGCCAUCGGACUGAUGGAUACAAAACUAAACAAAAAUUUUCUAAAUAAAACAAUUUCAACAUAUACAUGUAAACAACUAUAUAAAUACACAUAUAAAUAUACAUAUAGAAAUAUAUACACAAACUUGUAUACUUUUACAAAUAAACUUGUGACUUAGGACUAGUUUCAUGAAUCACAGCUAAAGUUAUAGGGGGAUACACAUUAUUUCAGCCUGAUUGACUGCGCCUGCCAGAAAAUGUAUCCCUCCUCUAUAGUGAAAGUUUCUCAGGUGUCUACAUGUGUAGAACACGUGAUUCUUCAAUCAAUUCUGCAAAUGACACAAGGUUAGCCUUCAGCAUUUUGGAGCAGGUCGAGGAUCGGCAUCAUCAACCUUGAUUUUGUCAAUUAAAAAGAGUUAGCAAUGAAUCCUACAGAUAACAAACUCAUUGUCCAAUAUGAAGCUAAAAAAGAGUAACCCCUCAAAGUUCACCAAGACGGAAAACUUAUUAUGUGGCGACGGGCAUGGGAGAGCUCAGCUGCAGGGGAGAGAGGUGUGGAGGAGUGCGUGGAAGCAGCGUCAGGUUAAUUAACACAGGUGGUAUCAGUUAGGCUGACCUGAUUACCUCCGCAGCAGCAGUCUGGAGCAGAGCAUAAAAGACGGGUGGACAGAGAAGAGAGGAGGUCGGACGAGAGAAGUUACUGAGAGACAGUGGAGGCUGCUUACUGAGCUGCUGUGGACUGAGAGACUGAGUGAUUGAGUAAUGAACUGUGUUUCCCCGACAAACUGACGGUGUGUGUGUAUUGAGUGGACCCGCGGACAACAGAGUUGUUACAUAUUACUAAAACAAAACUUUCAUCUGUAUGACACUGAAGGUAAGACCAAUGACGUCAUAACCAUUUCACAAAUGUGACAGAAUAAACACGGAACAAAUAAAAUUGUCUAAAAUCA